CCUACGGGAGGCAGCAGUGGGGAAUAUUGCACAAUGGGGGAAACCCUGAUGCAGCGACGCCGCGUGAACGAAGAAGGCCUUCGGUACGUAAACCUCUGUCAUCAGGGAAGAUAAUGACGGUACUUGACUAAGAAGCCCCGGCUAACUACGUGCCAGCAGCCGCGGUAAUACGUAGGGGGCUAGCGUUAUCCGGAUUUACUGGGCGUAAAGGGUGCGUAGGUGGUUUCUUAAGUCAGAGGUGAAAGGCUACGGCUCAACCGUAGUACGCCUUUGAAACUGGGAAACUUGAGUGCAGGAGAGGAGAGUGGAAUUCCUAGUGUAGCGGUGAAAUGCGUAGAUAUUAGGAGGAACACCAGUGGCGAAGGCGGCUUUCUGGACUGUAACUGACACUGAGGCACGAAAGCGUGGGGAGCAAACAGGAUUAGAUACCCGGGUAGUC
RNAcentral lists this ribosomal RNA (439 nucleotides) under uncultured bacterium. RNAcentral describes it as "partial 16S ribosomal RNA". It matches the Rfam family "Bacterial small subunit ribosomal RNA", at positions 338 to 795 of the family's 1533-position model. The record is from RNAcentral.